GGUGGACCAGUUCUACCACAAGAAAUCCAACCAACUGAUCUAUGAUCAGUUCACAGGUAUUUUUGUGUUUAAUAUAAUGAGUUUAGGGAUACAAUAUAUCUUAUUUAUUUCUAUUUCUAUUAUUUAUACUUUCAUGAAAUGUUUUCAUAAAUGAGCAGAGCGUUUUCACCCAAGAUAACUGAGGACAGUGACAUCGUAGAAGCACAACAUAUCAUAGUAUAUUUUCCUUGUGUGCUUUAUUUCAAUUUCUCUAUUGUUUUUGUGG
This 265-nucleotide long non-coding RNA is filed under the name Sorghum bicolor (sorghum). RNAcentral describes it as "long non-coding RNA (SBIC_LNC007645)". Lineage: Eukaryota; Viridiplantae; Streptophyta; Magnoliopsida; Poales; Poaceae. The record is from RNAcentral.